UAAUGUUCUUGAUAAAAAAAUAAAUAAAAAUAAAUCAGAUGAAUGCACCAGCUGUGGGUGUGGCUAUCACCUGAUCACCUGACCACCCAGUUUCACACUGACCUUUCUGACUGGUUCUGCUUUCCUAUAUAAUGUCCACACGUGAAAGCAAAUACUCUCAAACUCACACUGACUCGACACACGAGUCAAGCAGCUGUCUUAAACAUAACUUAACCUGUCAGAUGUUCACUGUGGAUCCUGAGCUCGGCGAGACUUUCUCAUAUUCAGAGUGAUUUUAAUAAUCAUUAAAGCAGCACUGGAUAUCACUACAUGUCCUCUCGUCACAGUUUCACUCCAGAGAAGAGAUUAAUGAUUAAACACAUGGAGGCUGAAGAGAGAGAGAGAUGAAGACACAAACCAGUGAACACAUGAAUCUUGUGAGAUGCUGGAGCUUGAAUGAUAUUAGACUGAACUUCUCUGCUGAUCCACACACAGCUGUGAAGAGUCCUGAUGUAUCAAAGAGAAACACAUGUCAGGGAAGACACUGAUACAUCCUAAACAGACUGAAACAAAGUUACACUUCAGCCAAAACCGACACUCUUCCUCAGUGUCUCUGACUGGUUUUAAACAUUCUUAACUCAAGAUACAUUUACUGGAGAAGCAAAACAUUUUAAAGUCUUGUUUUCUGAAUAAUGUAGCAAUAUUAAGUGUGUUCAUGCUUAAAACAAGAACAAAUAUCUGGGGUCAGAAAAAUAAUCUUGUUUCCCUUUGUGAAAUUGAUUAUCAGAUAUUUCUUUAAAGCAUGAACUCACUUAAUAUAGAUACAUUAUUCAGACGUCAACUUAAAAUGUCCCCAUCAUGAUUUAAAGAUGUUUAGAUAUUUAUACUUAUACAAGAAAUACCAAGGAAGAACAUAAUUUUUUGUAGCAUGGAAGUACGUUAUAUUCUUUCUUCUUCAUUUGAAUACGUGUCAUUUCUUUACUACGAUUUAUAUUAUCAAUGGACAUUACUUUAAGUCAUCUCUCAUAACAAAUGACUCUUUAUUGUAAUGUAGAAGCAUGCAUCUCCUGUAAAUCUACACUUUGAAAUGAGAAAGCGCUAAACAAACUUCAACUGAAUUUCAUGCUGGCAGCUAUAAUGGUUUCAGUUGAUGCAUCGUUUCAAUCAGCAAUGAUGAAUCAGCAUGUGUGACUGUAUUAAUGGAUUGUGUUUUUAUUUGAUGAAAUCGGCACACUGCAGUCUGUUCUGGACUCUCCAGCUCCUGACAGCAUCUUUAUUUGUGAUGCAUUUCAAUGCAUUUCUCAUCUUUUGAUGUUUACUGUGCCUUCUGUGUUUGGCGUCAUAUUGCUGCUUGCACAUUUUUGUAUUAUAUUUUUGUCCUAAAUCUAAGCUAUUUAAAGUAUUAUUUUACCAUACAUACCACAGUUAAAGGAUGAACUUCCAUCUGUUAUCUGUCUUUUACGUUUUAAUAAGAUGUAAGCACAACACAAUGCAGAAUUUAGAAUUCAUGUUACUGAUGUUUUCUGUAAUAUAUACAUUUUUUCUGUAAUGUUUUUGUUUAUCAUGUUUUUAAAAACUCUACUGUAAUAGCACUGGACUGAAAAUGCAGUGUUGAUUCAGCAUUAAAAGACGCACUUUGUUAUUCAAAUA
Cyprinus carpio (common carp) is the source of this 1629-nucleotide long non-coding RNA. RefSeq lists it as uncharacterized. NCBI's taxonomy places the organism in Eukaryota, Metazoa, Chordata, Actinopteri, Cypriniformes, Cyprinidae. The record is from RefSeq and is a predicted model, not a curated record.